AUUGGUCAAUAGCCUAACGGCUGAACCAGCAACUUGGAGGAAUGUAUAGCGAAAGCUGAUUGUAUUAUAUUUAAUAUAAUAUCGAUUUAAUCGAAUAAAAUUCUGGGUAGAAUUAUGAUAAUGACAUUAUCUAUCUAAAUUUCUUGACCAAAACACGUGCCAGCAGUCGCGGCAACACGUCGCAGAUAAGUGUUAUUCAUCAUUAUUUGGUUUAAAGGGUACCUAGACAGUAAAUCAAGCCUAUAAAAUUAUUUUAUAAGGAACUAAUUUGCUAGAGUUACUUAUGAGGGGGCUUAAAAGUACUGUCGGUGUAGAGAUGAAAUUCGUUGAUACCUUAUUUGGGAAGUUAAUGGCACAGGUAAAGGCGAAAGCAUCCCCUUAUGUGAUAACUGACGUUGAAGGACGAAGGCUUUGGUAACAAACAGGAUUAGAUACCCCAUUAGUCAAAGCAGAAAAUGAUGAGUGUCAUAGAUUAGGUUAAUACUUAUUCUAUAAAUGAAAGUGUAAGCACUCCACCUCAAGAGUAAUUUGGCAACAUUGGAACUGAAAUCAUUAGACCGUUUCUGAUACCAGUAGUGAAGUAUGUUGUUUAAUUAGAUAAUACGCCAAAAACCUUACCACAAUUUGAAUAUUUAUAUUAUUAAUUUAUAUUUUUACUUGACAAAUUUAACAGGUGAGUAAAUGAAUGAAUAAUAUAUAUACAAGCGUUGCACGGUUGUUUUCAGUUAAUGUCGUGAGGCUGUGGUUAGUUCCAUAAAUUAACGUAAACCCUUAUUUUAUUUUUAUAUAAAAUAGUUCUCCAUCAUAUUGGAUAAGAUAACAGGGAUCAAAACAAGCCAUCAUGACCUAAAUAUUGUGGGCUAU
Molecule: ribosomal RNA, 864 nt
Filed under: Savoronala madagascariensis
Lineage: Eukaryota; Fungi; Ascomycota; Lecanoromycetes; Lecanorales; Malmideaceae
Description: mitochondrial SSU rRNA
Rfam family: Bacterial small subunit ribosomal RNA
Source: RNAcentral